RNAcentral lists this long non-coding RNA (907 nucleotides) under Homo sapiens (human). RNAcentral's name for it is "HSALNT0008153". The record is from RNAcentral. Lineage: Eukaryota; Metazoa; Chordata; Mammalia; Primates; Hominidae.
GUCAGCUUCUUCUGCGGGCUCUGCAGGAUGGCCAUGGUGAUGAGCGCGAUCCCGUCGUCGCCCUCGCCCACCACAUCGAUGUCCACGUCCUCGGCCGUCAGCACCGUCUGGCCGGACAUGUCGCUGGCGCUGCCGCCGCCGGAGAGGGUCAUCCCUCCUCGGGAUCCAGCGGGAGGCGGGGCCACGUGACCGUGCGUGACGUCAGGGCCGCGGCCGAGCCGGCCAAACUCAAGUUGGUUCAGGGAAUUGUCAACAAAGGGACGAGAGACGCGCAACUCCGCUCCGCACUGUGCGCCAGCAUCCCCGGGGCACGGAGGGCGCUGCGGCCCGCCCGGAGACCCCCCCACCCAGGCUGGAUCCGGGCCCUGGGGCCCAGGGAGCGGGUGUGGACAAAUCCUCCAAGAUUUAACUUCCAAGAAAACCGGCGGCGGAGCGGGUGGAGGAGGCGAGGAUGUGUGGCCAAUGCACGCGGAGUGCAAGGCCGCCUAGUUGGGAGCCGCAAGAGCCUGCCUGGUGUGGCAGGCACACGGAACCCAAUCCCUGUCUGUCCGCUGCGGCCUGGGAGGGGAGCGCCGGCCUCACCAGAGGAAGGAGCACGAGGGGAGGAGUUCCGAGAGGAAAUAAUUAGUGAAAUAUUUGCAGAAGAUGCUGGGAUGUGGAUUUAAUUCCGGAUGGACAGUGGUGCUUCUGAUUCCCUCAGUCUGUUUCCCCACCCACGAUCUCCUCUUUCCUUGGCCUAGACACACCAAAAAUAAUUCAAUAAAAUAAAAAUAAAAAUUUAAAAAUCUGUAAACUUGCUUCAUUACAGGCAUUGAGACACACAGAUUGACUUUCAUCCCCAUUAGACAGUUUCCCAGGAUAUAACACUACUCAUCUGAGGCUGGGAGCAGGGUAGGGGGUGGUGACA